Molecule: ribosomal RNA, 468 nt
Filed under: uncultured bacterium
Lineage: Bacteria
Description: partial 16S ribosomal RNA
Rfam family: Bacterial small subunit ribosomal RNA
Source: RNAcentral
GACGAACGCUGGAGACGUGCUUAACACAUGCAAGUCGAAAGGAACGGAACUGCUUAUAUAGGGAGAUAAAAUAGCAAACAAAUAAACACAACGAGAAUCAACUGCACUUGACUUUGGGAUAACUUCAGGAAACUGGGGCUAAUACCGGAUAGGAGCUCCUGCUGCAUGGUGGUGGUUGGAAAGUUUCGGCGGUUGGGGAUGGACUCGCGGCUUAUCAGCUUGUUGGUGGGGUAGCGGCUUACCAAGGCUUUGACGGGUAGCCGGCCUGAGAGGGUGACCGGCCACAUUGGGACUGAGAUACGGCCCAGACUCCUACGGGAGGCAGCAGUGGGGAAUAUUGCACAAUGGGCGGAAGCCUGAUGCAGCAACGCCGCGUGCGGGAUGACGGCCUUCGGGUUGGUAACCGCUUUCGCCUGUGACGAAGCGUGAGUGACGGUAAUGGGUAAAGAAGCACCGGCUAACUACGUG